AACGAACGCUGGCGGCAUGCCUAACACAUGCAAGUCGAACGAUUGCCUUCGGGUGAUAGUGGCGCACGGGUGCGUAACGCGUGGGAAUCUGCCCUUAGGUUCGGAAUAACAGCUGGAAACGGCUGCUAAUACCGGAUGAUAUCGCGAGAUCAAAGAUUUAUCGCCUGAGGAUGAGCCCGCGUUGGAUUAGGUAGUUGGUGGGGUAAAGGCCUACCAAGCCGACGAUCCAUAGCUGGUCUGAGAGGAUGAUCAGCCACACUGGGACUGAGACACGGCCCAGACUCCUACGGGGGGCAGCAGUGGGGAAUAUUGGACAAUGGGCGCAAGCCUGAUCCAGCAAUGCCGCGUGAGUGAUGAAGGCCCUAGGGUUGUAAAGCUCUUUUACCCGGGAAGAUAAUGACUGUACCGGGAGAAUAAGCCCCGGCUAACUCCGUG
RNAcentral lists this ribosomal RNA (435 nucleotides) under uncultured bacterium. RNAcentral describes it as "partial 16S ribosomal RNA". It matches the Rfam family "Bacterial small subunit ribosomal RNA", at positions 29 to 507 of the family's 1533-position model. The record is from RNAcentral.